Non-coding RNA from Schistocerca cancellata (South American locust), 73 nucleotides. The record is from the annotation of a RefSeq genome assembly. NCBI's taxonomy places the organism in Eukaryota, Metazoa, Arthropoda, Insecta, Orthoptera, Acrididae.
GUCUGGAUGGUGCAGUGUUCAGCACAUCUGCGUUGUAAGCAGGAGAUCUGGGUUCGAUUCCCAGUCUGGCACA